Molecule: ribosomal RNA, 812 nt
Filed under: uncultured archaeon
Lineage: Archaea
Description: bacterial SSU rRNA
Rfam family: Archaeal small subunit ribosomal RNA
Source: RNAcentral
CGAGUCGAGAGAUUUCGGAUCUCGGCAGACGUCUCAGUAACACGCGGAUAAUCUGCCCUUGAGUGGAGGAUAAUCUCGGAAACCUGAGCAUAAUACCCCAUAGGCCUAGGAUGCUGGAAUGCUUCUAGGCUCAAAGCUCCGGCGCCCAAGGAUGAGUCUGCGACCUAUCAGGCUGUAGUGGGUGUAAAGGACCCACUAACCUUCGACGGGUACGGGCCUUGAGAGAGGUUGCCCGGAGUUGGACUCUGAGACACGAGUCCAGGCCCUACGGGGUGCAGCAGGCGCGAAAACUUCACAAUGUGGGAAACCGCGAUGAGGGGAUUCCAAGUGCUAACACUUUGUGUUAGCUGUUCACCUGCCUAAAAAGCUGGUGAAGUAAGGGCCGGGUAAGACGGGUGCCAGCCGCCGCGGUAAUACCUGCGGCCCGAGUGGUGGUCGUUAUUAUUGAGCCUAAAGCGUCCGUAGCCGGUUCAGUAAAUCUCUGGGUAAAUCGGACAGCUCAACUGCCCGAAUUCCGGAAAGACUGCUGAACUUGGGACCGGGGGAGGUUGGAGGUACUCCUGGGGUAGGGGUGAAAUCCUGUAAUCCUAGGGGGACCACCAGUGGCGAAGGCGUCCAACCAAAACGGCUCCGACGGUAAGGGACGAAGCCCUGGGGCGCAAACGGGAUUAGAUACCCCGGUAGUCCAGGGUGUAAACGCUGCAGGCUUGGUGUUGGGGGUCCUACGAGGGCGCCCAGUGCCGGAGAGAAGUUGUUAAGCCUGCCGCUUGGGGAGUACGUCCGCAAGGAUGAAACUUAAAGGAAUUGGCGGG